AUUGAAUUGUUUAAGCAAACGAGGUUGAGCAGUGAUGACGGCGGGCGAUGUUGAGCAUAGACGAUGAAGAUCCUUCAAUAGAAUAGUACUCGGAUGCGACGUGUCUCCAUACACAACGUUAUCUGCUCUUGACUCUUCCACUGCAGUGCAAAAGUCGAGUUUGCACUGUUUUUAUCGUGCACUCUGAUAUAUAAUAUGGUGAACUUGUGCACGUUGUUGCGGUUGGAACAGGAAGUGUUUGGGGAGUUAAGCUGUUGAGAUUGAGCGGCGAUGGACGUGGAGGAUGUUGAGCAGAGUUCAUGGAUUGUUUUGUCAUGAUUAAUAAAUGUUGGAUUUGUCGUGUCUUCAUACUCGGCAUUUUCCUUGUCUUGAACGCUUCCGCUAAGAGUCCUUUUCUUUAGAAUUGUUUAUUCGUGGAGAGUCUAACUCGUUUGAAAAUUGUUUAUUUUCUAUACUUUAUUUACUUAGAGUUGGUAUUAUUGUUAGGAUAAUAUUAUGACGUUUUCAAAGUUAAUUCAGUUAUUAAACUUUUGGUCAAAUGUGUAUGUUUUUCCCUUUUCUUCCCCGCUUCUUUAAUCCUCCCCUAGUCAUGAUCAACCGUGCUUUCUAUCCGUAGAAAAUGCGGGCGU
This is a long non-coding RNA of Salvia splendens (bonfire salvia), 629 nucleotides long. RefSeq lists it as uncharacterized. The record is from RefSeq and is a predicted model, not a curated record. The transcript is spliced from 4 exons. Lineage: Eukaryota; Viridiplantae; Streptophyta; Magnoliopsida; Lamiales; Lamiaceae.